GGAAAUGUCAUAACAACAGAGGCUCCAUCAGGGCUUACUGGUAGCCCACUACUGGAAAUCACAUGUCCCAAAUAUUUAACUUGAGAGAGAGAAAAUUGCAAUUUAUCUCUGGACAAUCUUUGUCCCUUAAAGCAAGCUGUUGUGACAAGUGGACAAUGUCUUCUCUGCCUGUUGUCAAGGAGGAUGAAAGUGACAAAUCAUCCACAUAUUGACCAGGAUAGUUCUGCUAGAAAAUUUGAUAUCAUGUAAAUGUCUUUUUAAUAUUUGAGAAAAGUAAGUAGGACACUUGGAAUAUCCUGAAGCAAGAUUGUCCAUGUGUACUGGUGAUUUUCUCAAGCAAAGGCAAAAAGAUAUUGGCUGUUCUGCUCUACAGGUCUGGAGGCAGGUGAUUGGAUCAUGGGGAUGGAUUUCUCAGGAAUGGUCUAGCAUCAUCUCCCUGGUGCUGUCCUUGUGAUGGCGCAUCAGUGGAAGGGACUUGCCUUGUCUCAGAAGAAACUGCACUUUCGAGUGAUGCCGAAACAGGUUGAGACUUUUGGGGGACUAUUGAGAAGGGAUGAUUGUAUUUUGCAAUGUGAGAAGGACAUGAGAUUUGAAGGGCCAGGGAUGGAAUGAAAUAGUUUGGAUGUUGUACCCUUUAAGUCACAUGUUGAAUUGUAAUUCCCAGUGUUGGAGUUGGGGUCUGGUGGGAGGUGAUGGGGUCAUGAGGGCUGAUUUCUCAUGUUUAGUACCAUCCUCUUGGCACUGUCCUUGCAAGAGUGAGUGAGUUCUCAUGACAUCUGGCUGUUUAAAAGUGUGUGGCACCUCUCCCUGCUUGCUCCUGCUCUGGCCAUGUGACAUACCUUCUUUUGCUUCACCUUCUGCCAUGUGUAAAACCUCCCUGAGGACCCUUCUUGAAGCCAAGCAACUGCCAAUGCAAAGCUUCCUGUACAGCCUGCAGAACUGUGAGCCAAGUCAACCUUUCUUUUCUGUAUAAAUUAUGUAGUGCUUAGGUAUUCCUCUAUAGUAAUGCAAGAAUGUCAUAAUACAAGGCAUAAUGGCUUGCAUUUUAAAAAUGAAAAUUAGAUUUAUGUAAUUUAUCAUGAAAAGAUGAAAUGAGUUAAUAAUGAGCAAUAUCUACAUGUUGUCUUAGAGGUGCUGACAAUCUGUCAAGGAAUUACAUGCAUUAAUCAAGCAGUUUACCUUCAAGUUGAAUAACAAGAUAUUCCUAUCUAACAUAACAAAAUUUUGACAUUAUUUGGGAGACUGGAAAUAAUGCUACAUAAUAUCAGAUUGUCAAAGCCAAAUAAAUGUAGAGACAAACAUCUGAAAUUAAAAUGUUUUAUUUGAGAUACAAGUAUUACAAUUUGACAGAUACAUGCAGAAUGGGUGUCUUUAGUAUGUCCGAAACAUAAAGAGAAAGUUAGAGGUUUUAUAAAAAGGGAGACAGAGAGAAAAACGGUAUGUAUUUCUCUUUGAGAAAGUUCACUGGCACCAGUAAGGUUUUUGAGAGCUGGCAGGCUCUGAUAGGUGAGGGACAGUGGUGGGUAAAACUAGUCUUAGUGUUGCAAGAGGUUGUUUCAGUAACCAUUCGAUAAAACUGGUUUCAGCUUAAAGCAGGUAAUUUCAGCAGCCAGGCAUGCAGAGAAUUACGUGCUUGGAGUGGUGUUUUUGCCCUGAAUGCCUCCUCCCCCUGGCUUCUUGAUGGUUUUAUUUGGUGUGACAAGAAUGACCCAAUUCAUAUGAUCAAUUUUUACAUUUACCCCUUUCCAUCAAGAUCUUUCUCUUAAAGCAUCAACCAUGUUUAUAGUUGUACAACGACUACAAGUUAGGCUUAAUCAUCCCUUAGUGCUAGGAUGGACCUGUCCCAGUUGCUCCGUCCCACAUCUGGGAAAGGUAUGGAGGUCUACAUCAGGUCUAUGUCAAGAUUUAUGGCUUAAAACAUCUAUCCGAGGAAAAAAAUAAAACUGACCAGUAAUCCCAGGAGAGAAACAUACCUUGGCAAAUUCGAAGAUAUUUCUAAUUUUAUUUAACAAAUUUAAACUUAAUUAAUGUAUCAAAGAUUCGCCUAACUCAUGUCAAACAAAAUAUGUUUGGGUUAAUUAAUAUAUAUUUUAUAUGAGCAUUCUUUUAUUCAAACCAUCCUUUUUUCCUAGAAUGAUGGAUUAGGGGCUUUCGGUGUGCCUCAGCCACUUGGAAGUAGAAAAAUAAGCAUAAAGAUAAACUUUGUGAGCUUCAAUUCAAGAAGAAAAAUAGGAAUUCACAGGAAUAGAGAAGAACACUCCAGACCCUGUGGAGGGGGAGGUGGGAAAGCAGCCUCUGCGAUAGCAUUUUGUUCAUAAAAGGGAGUGAAACUGCAGUACGAGAGAAGAACAUCCAGUCUCCCUCUGUGACUCACCUUUCCACUGGGGAUCUGUGCAACCCAGAUUAAGGGAGAGCAGUCUGUUUCUCCCAAGAAAGCACUUAUGUGCUUAGAGCUGGCACAAAAGUGGCUGAGAGAUGGGGAAAGAGGAAAGACACUCAGAAAAGCUGCAGGCAUUUCCGCAGACCUGGGACUGAGAGAAGGAUGCCAUUUUUAAUCUGGGCUCGUACAAAGUCAAUCAUUCUUUGGUGCCUGGCAAUGGUGGCCACUGCAGACACUUUAAUCUUGGGCUAGGAAUUGAAGUGCUUGCUCUGGAGCAGGGGAGCAGCCUCCACAGCCAGAAUUGAGUGUUGAGUGUGGAAAGUGCCCCAGCAGUAGGUGUUGGAAUUAGGCUCUCUCCUCUUGCAGGACUGUAGUGGGAAGAGAGUUGCUAAAGCAGAGGUUUCUCAGGGAUGGUGAGACUUGCAGCCAAGAACAGUUUCGCAACCUGGGACUGGUCUGUGUGUGUCAUUGCUGGGUGUCCCAGCCUGCUCCCUUGGUCAGUUGAGAGAGUACCUCAUCAGCUCCAAGAAACAGGAGGGAGGUGAACCCGUUUCCCCAGGAGACCUAAACUUUGGUGAGGACCAGUCCUAAGGGAAGGAGGAAUACAGCUUGCCGAACACAGCCCUUGAGUCAAAGGAAACAUGAUCAUGACAUCAGCUGCUGAAAGGGGCACACCAAAGCCUGGGAACAGAUGUAGAGAGGUGGUCAUCUCUUGCCCUCUGUCACCUUCCUAGUGCACUGCUGCAGACCCAGCAGUGGUCAUCCUGUUGGGGCCCAAGGAACGUGGGCUGAAAGAGGCUGCUUCUUAGGUUUCUCCAGCAGCUCUGCCCCUGCUGAAGACUAGUACACAUGGGGACAGGGUGCUUUUGGCACUUUGUCACUUCUGCACCUGUCGAGGACAAGUACACAGAGGAGAAGACCCUGCAGCCAGCUGUUACUCUUAAGCACUGUCUACUGGACUGAAGCCUGAAUUACACCACCAAACAAAGAUACAUCACCACACCAAGCCACCACAGGAGCCUAUCUACAACCAAGGAACUUGUACAGAGCAUUGGUCCUCUGAAAGUACCCAGAAAUGAAGCAAAUUGAUCCUAUACAACAUACACCACAGUCACACCCUUAAGAGAAAGACAGAAUGAAAAAUUAAAAAAAAAAAAACUCCUUCCAAAUGAUAUCAAAUUCAACAAAAGAAGCAUCAAGUCUCUCAGAUGAGAAGAAACCAGCACAAGCACUCUGGCAAUACAAAAAGCCAGAAUUUUCCAUCACCUCCAAAGGAUUACACCAGCAAACUAGCAAUGAGUCCUAACCAGAAUGAAAUGUCUGAAAUGACUUGUAUAGUAUUCAGGAUAUAAGUGGCAAAAAAAUUCACCAAAAUCCAACAGAAAGUUGGAAUCCAACAACAACCCCAUAACAACGAUCCUGGAUUUGAAUGACAAGAUAGCUAUAUUGAAAAAGAACCAAGCAGAGCUUCUUGAAUUGAAAAAUUUACUAUAGGAAUUUCAAAAAGAGUUGGCAGCCUUAGCAACAGACUAGGCCAAAUAGAAGAACUAAUUUAAGAGCUCAAAGACCAGACCUUUGAAUCAACCCAGUCAGACAAAAAUAAAAAAGGAAUUUAAAAAUAAUGAACCACACUUUUGAGAAAUAUAGGAUUAUGUAAAGGAACAAAAUCUAUGACUUACUAUUGGCAUUUUUUUUUGAGACAGAAUCUCACACUGUUACCCAGUCUGUAGUGAAGUGGCAUGAUCUUGGCUCACUGAAACCUCCACCUCCUGGGUUCAAGCAAUUCUUGUGCCUCAGCCUCCCAAGUAUCUGAGAUUACAGGCGUAUGCCACCAUGCCUGGCUAAUUUUUGUAUUUUUAGUAGAGAUGAGGUUUUGCCAUGCUGGCCAGGUAGGUCUCAAACUUCUGGUCUCGGGUGAUACUCCCACUUUGGCCUCCCAAAGUGCUGGGAUGACUGGCAUGAGCCACUGUGCCUGGCUGACUUAUUGGCAUUUCUAACAGAGAAGAAGUGAAAGUAAGCAACUUGGAAAACAUUUUUGAGGAUAUAAUUCAGGAAAGUGUCCUCAAUCUUGCUAGAGAGUUCCACCAGCUGAUACAAGAAAUCCAGAGAACUCCCGUGAGACUGAAGGUAGGCAGUGAAGCAAAUGUUUGCAUUCUUGUGUGGCUCUGAUUAGCAUCAGGAUAUCUACAUUUUACAUGGGAAAGGAGGGAGCAGAGGAAACAGUUAAUUAUGCGUUCAUCUCACAUUCAGUAAAUCUUCAUUUUACAUAAGAUAAAGUAAGCAUGUGAAUAGAGGGAGUGGAGUAGAGGAAAAGCCAACGAUUCAUUCAUCUCAGGACAGGCAGAGGGAUGAUUUCUGGUCCUGACCUUGUCCCAGAACUAUGAAAAUAACCUGGUAAUUGAGACCGUCAGGGUGAAAUUGAGCCCACUCACUUUUAGGGCUAGUUUAUAGGUGGGAUGUGCAUUCUGAAAGAUUUAGGGGCUCACAGCAAAUUGUGAGGGAGGACAUCUGAGGAGACAUGCAGCCUUCUGUCACUGUGGGAACCUGGCUUAUGGAUGAGGCUAUGACACAGGGUUGUGAAGUUAUAGCUAUGUGUUUGAGAACAAGGAAGGCAGUAUUGCGUAACUCAGUUCCCAAGCUUAAUUUUCCCUUUGACACAGUGAGCUUGGGGUUGGGGUCUCUAUUCUCUUUUCUCUCACAAAAUCAUAUGGGAACAUUCCAGAAGAUGUGAGGUUCUGCGCUCACUAUUAAAUAAGAAUGACCAGGAGAGCCAUGGGUAAGCUCCCUCCUCAGUCAUCAGGACCGCAACAGAGAGUUUUCCCCUGUGUGGACAGGGUUCUGAAUUCUGCAGGAUCCCGUGGGGACACAAGUGUCAGGAUAGAGGCACUUCUUCAGCCAGGUACAGUGUCUCAUGCCUGUAAUGUCAGCUACACUGGAGGCUGAGGUCACCUUGAGGCCAGGAUUUCAAGACCAACCUGGGCAACAUAGCAAGAUCCCAUAUCUAAAAAUAAAAUUAGCCGGGUGUGAUGGCAUGCACCUGUAAUCCUAGUUACUUGGGAGGGAGGCUGAGGUGGGAGGAUUGCUUGAGCCUAGGCGUUGGAGACUACAACGAUCUAGGAUUACACCACUGCACUCCAGUCUCAGCAACAGUAAGACUCCGUAUGUAACAACAACCAACCAAUUCUGCGUUUUGAGUGUAAAUUACCAUAGCCUUUGUAACAGAAAUUAGGCAGCAACUCUCGUCAUUCAAAAUGCAUAAGCAAUUUGGCUAAGCAAUUGUACUUCUAGAUUAUUUAUUUAUUUAUUUAUUUAUUUAUUUAUUUAUUUAUUAUUGGGACAGAGUGAGACUCUGUCCCCCAGACUGGAGUCCAGUGACAUGAUCUCAGCUCACUGCAACCUCCGCCUCGUGGGUUCAGGCAAUUGCCCUACCUCAGCCUCCCGAGUAGCUGGGGCUACAAGUGCGCAUCACCAUACCCAGCUAAUUUUUGUAUUUUUUGUAGAAACGGGGUUUUGCCAUGUUGGCCAGGCUGGUCUCAAACUUCUGACCUCAGGUGAUCCACCCACCUCGACCUCCCAAAGUGCUGGGAUUACAGGCACUAGGUCCCUAAAUUAGAGCCAUAUUCUUUAAUGUCUGAAAGCACUCUUGCAUGUUUAUUACUGCAUUGUUUGAACUUAAAUGUCCACAACAGGAUAACAGGAUAAUUAAACAGUUAAUUGCACUAUGGCACAUCCAUCUGUUAACAAAAUGAAAUCGAUCUUUUUGUACUGUGGUGUAAAGAUUUUCUGGACAUAGUUCAGGUAAAAAAAAAAAAAAAGACCACUGUUGAAUAAUGCUUCCGGUAUAACACAAUGUGUUUGAAAAUGUACACAAUACACUGUAAUAUCCAACACAUACACCUAUCAAAGUAAAUAUAUUUUAUUCUAGGGUAAUUAUUAAAACAUUAAGAAAUACUCUUUAAUCAUAUAUGUUUAAACUUGUAG
RNAcentral lists this long non-coding RNA (6361 nucleotides) under Homo sapiens (human). RNAcentral describes it as "HSALNT0207658". Lineage: Eukaryota; Metazoa; Chordata; Mammalia; Primates; Hominidae. The record is from RNAcentral.